Molecule: long non-coding RNA, 197 nt
Organism: Ruditapes philippinarum (Manila clam)
Lineage: Eukaryota; Metazoa; Mollusca; Bivalvia; Venerida; Veneridae
Exons: 3
Source: RefSeq, a predicted model, not a curated record
UUCUUUUUUUCAGUGUUAAUUUUAUCAUGAACGCCGCAACACGUGUUUGUGUAGCAGUGACUGUGCUUUGUCUGCUCGCACAAGCUGCCGACACUGAAGACCAGAGCGCCAGACCGAAAGACAACUUUGAUGUGAUGCACCAUUCUUCACAUCCAUCUUGGAGAGACCAGAUUAUGGUGUCUGCCGGAAGUGACGUC